CACCCCAGCACCUCCCUGCCCUGCUUUGUGGUAAGAACCCUCGGUGCCAAUCAGGAAGACAUAAUGGUAUUGGAGAUGAUUCAGAGAAGAGAAUUUCAAAUGAUCAAGGGGAUAAGAAAGCUGUCUUAUAAGGAUAAACUACAAAGAACAAAAGUUUUCAAGCUAGAAAAACCAGGCUGAAAAGUAAGGAUGAUCAAAGUCUCUAAAGUUAUGAAGUCGAUGGAAAAAAUGAACAUGAAUGUUUUAAAAUCGAAAAAUAGCACAACAACA
This 270-nucleotide long non-coding RNA is filed under the name Homo sapiens (human). RNAcentral describes it as "HSALNT0131057". Lineage: Eukaryota; Metazoa; Chordata; Mammalia; Primates; Hominidae. The record is from RNAcentral.